This is an RNA transcript of Anopheles funestus (African malaria mosquito), 7991 nucleotides long. It is a transcript of the gene named restin homolog, with no coding region annotated. The transcript has 13 exons. The record is from RefSeq and is a predicted model, not a curated record. Lineage: Eukaryota; Metazoa; Arthropoda; Insecta; Diptera; Culicidae.
AGUUUGACUUGCCGUGCUCGGUUCAGUCAGUCGUCGUUCGAGCAUUAGGCAACAUUUAAUUUUAAUUUUAAUAUUUAAGUAGCUCUAAGUGUACAUAACACUAUCGAAACGAACAGCAAAGAGAGGAAAGAAACGGAAACCCUUUGCAAGAAAACAAAAGUCUCUAGCAUAGACAAAACGAAACACGAAGAGUUACAAAAAUUGUUAAAUUAAAAAAAAAUACUACACACAUAAAAAUUGUGCUACAUCGAACAAUUGAAACGAAACGAACCUAACGUGAAACCGGUGCAAAGUGAAUCAUCUGAUGAAGUGAAUCAUAACGAAGCGAAUUGAAGCAAAAUAUUUACGCAACAAACGAGAAUCGCACUGAAAAUCUUCUCAUUACACGAGGGAAUCAAACGACACGUGUAUUAUUUAAUUUACUUUCGAAAUUACUUGCAACGAACAACCGACUAAACUGUGUCGGUGGUCUGGCGAAAAAAGUUUUACGAUUUCCAUUUUUGAGUGUUAUUUUUAUUGCGAAAUACGCGAAAGCUCUAAUUACGAGUUCUGUUACAAUAAAAUAUAAAAUCGGAGAGUGAACAAACAAAAGUGAACUGUGAGUUGUUUUUUUUAUAAGUUAAUAAGUUCUGUUCAAGUUUAAUCUACAUAAAAUUCAAACACUUUGUAAGAAAAAAGGUGCGAUUACUCGUCGGAAUUCUUACGCGUGUGGGAACUGUGAUAAUACACGCAAUCAGCCAAGUGUGGGGAGCACAAGUGUGACUAGAAGAAAACGAAACAAACAGAACUAAAACGGAAAAUUGCGACCGUGCGUGCGUGCGUGAAGUGACCGAAGCAGCAAAGCGAACGUGCCCAGGGUGGCGCGCAGCCAGAAGUGUGGCGUUGGCGGUGUUGUAAAAAUAAUUGAAAUCCGUACCACCGGGUCCCCACAUUGCGAGGACGUGCGAACGCAUUGGAUCUGUUGGUGACCGAUUGUGAAGUGUAAAUAGUUUACUUCAAACCACACCCAACAGGACUGGGACCGGAGCAAAAAAAAGGAUCGAUUUACUCCCGGACACUACGACUAAAACCCAACACCCACAGCACGGCACAUUGAACCUCCAGUGUGGUACGAGUAAAACAAUUCGUCACACAGACAGCAAAACGAGAAGUUCAUCGUCAUCCUGUUGUUUGAGGUUCUCCGGCGCAAAAUCAAAGUGAAGACGCCCCCAUAGUGCAUAUGAACAGUGCACCAAACAUUGAAACUAAAGCAUAUUAAAGUGACAACAGAGAGUGUCCCCAAAAGCCGCCUACAGUGUGCGGAAGAUAGUGUUAAAAUUAAAAUUUAAAUGUACUGCCUACUUGGAGAGCAUCACCAUACGCAUCAGCAGGCCCAACAAUAGCAACGCACGGAGGUUUAAGAGAUCAGUGAUAUACAGUGAAGAAAUAUUAAAUCGAAUACGCAACAAUGGCGAAUGAAGAACAGCAAUUCAACGCCACAACCGGUACGGUGAAAACGAUCCUCAAUAAUGCAUCCCUUACAGAACAACAAUUGAGCAGUGAAGAAAAUGCCAGAUCCUACAGAGAUGUAGUGAAGAAUGCAUCUGCAAAUAGUGACGCAGAGCACACGGGAAAUGGUGCUCAACCGAAGGCAACAAACGUGAGACAAAAACGUAAGAAGGCAUCCGAAAAGCAGGACGCUAACCUCAUUUUGGACGGUAAACCAUCGAUAGAUCAUCGAUCAGUUAUGGAUAAGGAAUCGACCGUAUCCUCCCAACCCGCACCAUCUUCAGAAGCAUUGGGAAAUCUUUCCAAAGCGAAUGGGAAACGUUUGAAGUUGGAUCUUAAGACCAACCAGGAACAGCACACAGUUGAUCCAACGUCACCAUUGGGGCUUUUGCAUGAGGAGAAAGUGAUCGUAAGAAGCAAACCACCGAUUCCACCGAAACCGGACGUCCGGACGAUACAAGCAUCGUCCCAAGGGCAACACAAGGCCACUGUUUCGCCCGCAACGCCACACACUAAGGGCAAGAAGCAGCAGGUGACCGAGGCCCACAAUGCACAUACCGUCCAGAAGCUGUUGGCCCAGAAUGAACAAAUGCGGCUAGAACUGAGCGAACUCCGAAGCAGCUUAGCUGCGGAGCGGAAUGCUGUCAGAGUGUUGCGGGCCCAAAAUGAGUCCGAUCUGCGAAAGACUAAAUCCGAAUGCAAGAAACUGCAGGAAGCUCUGCAGCAUCAGAAACGCCAUACCCAGGCUCAGGGCCAGUGCCAGAGCGUGACCGUGGGCGGUGGUACGCCGGCCAAGCGGGCACACCGUGGAUCGGCAGAACAGCAAGAGCCACACGGUGGGUGGACUUCGGAGACACGCGGACCGCACCAUCAGCAGCAAUGUUGUUUGGAAGUUCUGAAGCUGAAUCAGGAGAUUUCUGCCCUGCGGGAAACGAACAAAUUCUUAGAGGAAAAAUAUCAAAUUUCCUCCGAGGCUGAACGGCAGAAAGCUUCCGAUAUUCGCGUACAGCGGGAUUUGCACGAACUACGAUUGACUCAACUUUCCAAGUCAGCCAGAAACGAAAUCCAGCGCAUGCUGGAGGAGCUGAAAUCGAAGGAUCGCAGCAUAGCGCAGCUCAAGAAAGAGCUCCAGGCUGCGCUAGCUGCCCAGGCAGGGACCGGCGGUGGAUGUCGCAAGGAGAGAAAGGCUGCUAAAAAUUCCGCUCAGCAAUCGCACGAGAUGCGAAAAUUGCGUGAGACAGAACCAUGUAGCGGAACUAUCAGCAAAAGCAACAGCAAUAACAGCAUCCAAUCCGUCACCGACGAUUACGAACAGCUGGAAACGAAAGAAUCUCUGGAGCUGACUAUUGUCACUGCGACAACCACGACGACCGCAGUCCCGGCAGCGGAAGAAGCGUCGACACACGACUGCAGCUGCCGUACGACACGGAACACAAGUGAAACAGAAGCAAAUAAUAUAGACGUAGCGAUAGAAACAACGACGUGCGGCAACGAUGAGGCUGAACGGCCAACGCUGUCGCACGAAUUAUGUAAACGAACCAAGGAAGCUCACAGCAACGACAGCAGUAGUGCCUGCAGCGUAGUACUAGAAUCGAAGGGCAUUUCUUCUUAUUUUGCACCGAACGCAACAGACAUCGCAUCCGCACAACAAACGAUCGUUUCAAUCGAGUGCCAACAAGCGUCCUUUAGUUCUGAUCCGGAUUCGGCCCUUUCUUCGAUGAGUCCGCAACCGAACAGCUUUACCGGUGAUGCACCGCAGGACGAUCCCUGGAAUGUCCAACAUUCGCCGAUCGUCCGGGAGGAGGGCAAAUUGACCAGAAUUAAGGCGGAGCUCGAUGAAAUGCAGCAGCGAUAUGAUACCCUCAACCGGGAUUAUACGCUUGCCAAGGAACAGAUCGACCAGCUGGAGCAGGAGCUGGUUAAGGCAACACAAGCUUCGCGCGAACAAAGCAAACUAAAUGAACGCAUCGCAUACCUCGUGAAGCGCGAGGAGGACCUGCUAAAGGAAAGUCACGAGCUGCGUGAACAAAACGAACUGCUCGAAUUUCGUAUAAUCGAGCUCGAGGAAAGCCAUGACAAGUGGUCGCUUCGAAACAACUCGAGUCCGACGGUUGGCAGCGGAACGACAAAGGAUGGUUGGACGGACACCGAAAAGGAGCACGAUGAGUUGAUAAUGCUCUCAGAGCGAUCUGAUUCCGGUGUCACCUCACCGAACAGUCAUCACCAUUUGGAGGAUCAGCAGAGCGGUGUACCGUCGCCAUGUGAUUUAUCGCUCUUGGAUCAAAUACCCACAGACGAUGUGCGCAAGCGCCUCGUCGCUAUGACCAAGCGCUCGUGCUACGACGAGGAGGAUAAACUGUGUUUCCUACAGAUUCUGUCACUGCUAAACAACCUCGAAGCACUUUCACAGGAUCACGAGAUUACCGGCGAAGAUAUGAGUCUUGAACCGUCAGUCCAAAAGUACAACUAUAGCUUGCCCGACAGUAGCACACCACCAAAGGCGCUACUGCAUUCGGCAGCGGCCGCAGUAAUGAAUAGUUCCACACCCUUUAAAGCCGGUACGGGAAGAAUUGUCGCUACCGUGCAACCGUUCCACAGCUCCGACCAGCAUGUGCCCACCUCAACAUCUCAACCAAAAGCGACAUCAAUUGCAUCGAUCGCCGAAACGUUUGGUGGCAUGAAGAAAUCGACACGCUGGAAUAACGCUACCAGCUUGCAAGAGAGCGGUGUAUUUGUGGACGAACCGUGUAGUCACGUUGCCACGCAGACGGAAACGGAAGACUUCCCUGCGCUGGAAAAGACGAACGCCGAACUGUGCGCGGAGAUUGAAAAGUUGAACCGAUUCCGAGAGAAGAUCGAAGAGUGCAAAGGCGUCGCAGCUGCUGUCUGUAAGACGCCCAACAAGGGCUCGAUGGUGGCGUUAAACCUUCCGGCCGCGAGUGGUGACGAAGCAUGUGAUAGACGCCGGCUACAGUUCUACGUCGAGCGAGCAGAAAUGCUUGAAAACAAGCUGAAGGUGUAUGAGAGCAGCGGUGAUCAACAGCAACGGCAUCUGUCGGAGCGAUUGCAACGCGAGGUGCAGCUGGAAACCUGGGUGAAACAACUAUCGGAAAAGCUCGGCCGGGUGGAGCUGGAAAAUGAGCGACUCGAGGAGGAACGCUGUGAGCUAGAGGAGAUCGAAAAUGACACCCGUCUACGGUUGCAGCGACUCGAGGAAGAUUUGGAAGUGAUGGGACAGCGAAACGAAGAACUCGAAAUGUCCAGAAGCUCCUACCAGUCAAAGUUCCAGGAUGCGAAGGAAAACAUAACCAACUUGGAGGAGCUGAUACACAAAUACGAGGAAAAGAUCUUCCUUCUCGAAGAGAACGAAAACGAGCUGCGAGAGAAGAUCGAGUUAAUCUACAUGUUCAUACCGAUGAUGCUACUGUACAACAGCUGGCAGCUCCAGGAGCAGUUCAAACAGUAUCAUGCAACUUUGAUGGCACAGCAUUCGUUCCAUCAACAGAAGCAGCAAAAAUCCACAUUGUCGUAUGCAGAACCCCAUGCCAUCCAGUGUAUCCCAACGGAACACAUCGACUACUACGAUAGCAGCCGUUCGCAAGCGGACGAUUUGCAGGGUCGAUUGAGCGAGCUAAUGAGUCGGGAAAAAGAAUUGACGCAAAACAUUGCCGAGCUGAACCGAGCCUACAACGAGACGCUGGAAAAUGCGGACAACUUGUGGGCACAGAUGGAGCGCGAGUACAAGGAAAAGAUCAGUCGCUGCGAGCAGGAGGAGGCAACGCUCAAGUCCAAAAUAGCACAGCUCGAGGAACGUCUGAGCAAGGACAGUGAGUAUGCGAGCGAACGCAUCGCCCAUCUAGAAGAGGCCGAAAACAGCCUGAAGAGUCGCGUCAGCCGACUAGGAAAGGAGAACAAAGAACUGUCCGCUAAGCAUGGUGCUUUGCUGGAAGAAUACGGCACACUGAAGGACGAUUACGCCAAACUACAGAACUACCUGCGCGGUCCGGCUGCGGAAGCAUUGGAGCGAGAAAAGAAACGAGUACUUGCGCUAGAAGAUGAGCUAGCGCAUACCGCACAGAUGCUACGUGAUGGUGAAGAAUCACACCGCACGGAGGUGGGUACACUACGGGGUCGUUUACUAACCUCGACCAAGGAGUUGAACCACAUUGAGGUGACGAAUAGUGAGUUGCGCGAGGAGGUAGAAACGCUUGAAGCGCGCAUCCGUGAGCUGAUGUCCCAGCGAGGAAACGAUGAGGAACGCAUUAAACAGCUCACGGAAGAGCUGGAAGCGAAGCAGUCACAGAUUGUUGCACUGCAGCAUGCGCGGAAAAUUGGUGGCACCGGUGCUGGCAGCAACCGGUCGUCAGUCGGACGUAGUUUGGCGCAAGAACUCGAACGUCCGCUCAAGGGCACUUACACACGCCACGGGUACGAGGUACAUCCACUCGGUCGUAAAUUUCCCGACAGUGAUAGCAGUGGCAGUGGAGGCGAGGAUCGAAGCAAAUUUCCUCACACGAGACCGUCGGCAUUUGAAACCAAAGAAGUGAAGAGCCUUGCUGAGACGAUCAUUCUGAAUGCCGAAAGCAGGGGAGUGAAGACGCCAAAGAAAUCCUUCGUUGAGGAGGCUCGCAGUCGAUUCGCCCGUUGGGUGUGAGAUGCUGAAUCCUGGAUACGAGUGGACAGGAUGUCCACAAAACUCCUGCCAAAUUUUGCUGGAAUAAGUACAAUCCCCAUACCCAAGCCCGAGCGAGUCAUCCCUUCGAUGUUUUCCCUAACCGAUCUCGAACAAGGACUGUUUCAUUUCCCGAUACAACCCCUAGCAACACCGUCACCAUACCAGCACACUGAUACACGCACUAUGAACACACAGCAACCGACUCAACUGUUUUGAGUCAGCAAGCUCUGCAUCAUCAACCCCUAUGGCACACACGGCUGUGAAGUUGAGUGUUGCUUUCACACCUUCAAACCCCCGUCUUGCACAGCAUCCUAAGCGUCCUAUGGUCCUUGUUGCGUAUCCUUCCCGCUUUGUCCCGGACCUGCCAAUAGGCCAGAAAGCUUCCAACGUGAUGAACUGAUGAUACCAACUGGCCAGAAAAGCAUUCCCGCUAUACACGUGGGACUUCCGGACUGGACACUUGUGCCAGCAUCUCCUGCAAUGGACAAUCGGUCGCCUUCUCCAGCAUUCGAAAGGCGUCCUAUUACCUCGAUUCUGACUUCAAGCCUUCCCUCCAAAACUUUCGGGUCGGCCAUUUUUACCACCUCCCAGUGUAAAGGUGGUCUGGAACAUGUGUCACCAAGUUAGCAGCGUCGGGAAGGCCAUGAAAAGAAGAGAAGAAAAAUCUAGUCGUUUGUUUUUGUUGAAUGUGUUUAUAUUUGAGGUACUCCACAAAUAGUGUUAAAGCUGUACUAUGCUAAUGCAGAAAAGGUUGCAGCGCCGUAAAACAGUGGGCGCAUAAAAGAUGCCACAUUGUGAGGCGUUAGAUUGUGGUGCGUUACAGGCACUACCGCUGUUUAGACGUUUGUCCAUGGCAGUGGAUCGAAGAAAGCAUGCGCACACCAUCCCACUACCAUUUGCUUUAGACCCAGACUCUGUAAUAUAGACUGAGCAGUAGCAUGAUGGUAGAAUCGUGUAGAACAGUUAGUUUUUUUUGUUUGCAAUAAUUAAAUUAGUUUGAGCGUUCGCUUUGCGUUUAUUGGUUAAAUCAUUAUUUCUCAUCCUAGCGAAUAGUUACGUUAAGCUUUCUUUGCCUUCCAUACCAGCCAAUAAUGGAGGACUUAUGUUUACAGUUAGCAAAUACCGCUUCUGUUCUAUAUAACUUGUCCAAUUUUGUUCUCAGUUGCGUAAAUGAUAUAUUGGUAACCCCGACAGCAAUGUGGGUGAAAGUUUGCCUUUAUUUGUUUUUUAUAUUAUGUUUUGUUUAUGUACAGUUUGCUUGCAUUAGUUUGGGUUUGUAAUAUAUUUUUAUGAUAUGAAAUAGUUCGAUUGGCUACAAUUGUCCUAUCUAGAUAAUGGACAAAUCAAUGGCUAGUAUUCUCUGUGCUAUUCUGUACGACUAUAGCGAUUGAAACAAAUAAAACAUUAUUUAAAAUGAACAGCCAUGCAAGUGAACAAUGAUCCUUCCGCCCCGGGAAUCGGAAUGAGAUUCGUUUCAGGUGCUUUUUGGAACGAUAUUGUGCCGUCAACAUCAACCGAACCCCGUAAAACGGUUAUUCGAGCUUCGAAAAUGAUGAACAAUUAGUUCCAGAGGAAUCUGCAUUCUACCGGAGGCGUAGAGCAAACUUGUGAGCUUCCAGGGUAUUAUUUAAACGGUGUUACAACAGACUCAUUAUGCAUGUCCCACAUUAAUCAAUUGUUCAGGUUUUUUUUGUAAAAAGUGAACAUGUAGAAAAAGCGAGUGAAAUGGAAUGUAAGAAAGUUGAGAACGAGUGAGGGAAAGAGAAAGAAGCGGAAACAAAGAAAACAAUAAACAAAUAAAUACCGUAGAUAUGGUAGUAAAAAUAUA